Rhododendron vialii is the source of this 2089-nucleotide RNA transcript. It is a transcript of the gene named MDIS1-interacting receptor like kinase 2-like, with no coding region annotated. The record is from RefSeq and is a predicted model, not a curated record. NCBI's taxonomy places the organism in Eukaryota, Viridiplantae, Streptophyta, Magnoliopsida, Ericales, Ericaceae. The transcript is spliced from 2 exons.
ACAAUUCCAUCGCAACUGGGGAAUUGCUUGAGUCUGAGAGACUUGAAUUUGAGCCACAACGAAUUAACGGGAGGUCUUCCGUUUGAGAUUGGCAAUUUGCACUCUCUUCAAAAUCUCGAUCUCUGUCAAAACCUACUGGUGGGAGAGAUACCGCCACAGAUUGGAGAUAUGCUUCGGUUGGAAACGUUGAAUCUCGCCCACAAUGAGCUUCGCGGCCGCAUUCCACCCUCUUUUGAUGGAUUGCUAAGCUUGACGUAUAUUGAUUUGUCCUAUAAUCAGUUGGAGGGUUCUAUUCCUAACACAAAAAGCCUUUCGCGAGGCUCCAGUGGAGGCAUUCACGAACAACAAAAACUUAUGUGGAAACGCCUCUGGUUUGAUGAUUUGCCCUUUGACGAGUAGGAGCAAAGUUGAUGGCAAGAAGCACAACUUAGUACUGAUUCUAUGCAUAAUAACUCCUUUUUUAAGUGCUCUUUGUGUUCUACUUGUAAUUCUUAUACUUUUCUCUCUUCGUCGAGGAAGAGUAAGGCACGCAGGAACCAAAGGGAGUGUAGAAAACAGAUCAGGGCAAGAAGAGGAGGAGGACAAUUUGUUUGCUAUCUGGAGCUAUGACGGCACAAUGCUGUACGAAAACAUAAUUGGAUCGACAGAACAGUUCAGCUUGAAAUACUGCAUUGGAGAGGGAGCAACAGGGCGCGUUUAUAAAGCUGAGCUGCCAAACGGCCUGAUUGUCGCCGUGAAGAAACUUCACUCGUGACAAGAUAGUGAAGCAGCAACCGACUUGAGAUGUUUCACGGAUGAGAUUCGUGCGUUGGCACAAGUAAGACACCAAAACAUUGUGAAGCUUUAUGGGUACUGCUGCCGCACACGACACUCGUUUUUGGUUUAUGAGUUCUUAGAGCGGGGAAGCUUGGGAGCGAUACUAAGCAACAAUGAACGGGCAGUGGAAUUCAGAUGGAUUGAGAGGGUAAAUGUCGUUAAGGCAUGGCGAAUACUUUAUCAUACAUGCACCAUGACUGCUCGCCUCCUUUGGUUCAUCGAGACUUAUUGAGCAAAAACAUUUUGUUGGAUUUAGAGUAUGAGGCUCACGUCUCGAACUUUUGCACGGCUAGGCUUUUGAAGCCUGAUUCCUCUAACUAGACCUCAUUUGCUGGGACAUUUGGAUAUACUGCACCAGAGCUCGCUUACACAAUGGAAGUGAACGAGAAAUGCGACGUUUAUAGUUUUGGAGUGGUAACAUUGGAAGUGAUCUUAAGAAGUCAGCCGGGUGCCUUCAUCUCAUUUCUAUCAUUGUCAUCACCAAACUGUGCUGACCACAUAUUGUUGAAAGAUGUCGUCGACCAACGUCUCUUGCCUCCAACGGAUCAAGUUGCACAACAAGUAGUUUCCACCAUGAAACUUGCAUUCAAAAGCUUGAGCUCUAGUCCGCAAUCUCGGCCAUCCAUGAACCAAGUUUCCAAAGAGCUAUCGACUCAAAAGCACCUGCUGGCCGAGUCGUUCCUCUCAGUAACAUUAGGGCCACUAUUCAACCUAGAACACUAAACUUUACAAUAAAAGGUUACUGUUAGUAAAAGUCAUAGAAACUCUUCCAAGUAUUUUCUCUACGCAGAAAAUAAUUGAGCUAGUUAUAUUAGCAAAUCGGAAUACGAGUUUCCUAUAUUUUUUCAGAUGUUUGUAUGCUAAAAAAGUAUCAAAACAUUCCAAUGGGAUACCACAAUAUGGGCCAUGGGCAGAAGAUUAUUCUGAGCCACACUUAGCAUCAAACAAAUGUUUGGGAAACGCCCAUUGAAAAGCCCAACAGAGUCCAGAAUUUGCAGCAGGGCAACAUAACCAAGAACAGACUGCAUGGAGGGCGGAUCAACCCGGACAACUGCCCUAUCAACGUUUCAAAUUUUUAUUAGAAUUACAGUAGUUUUCUUCUAAAAAAAUUUAAAAUCAUACACGUUCACCCACCCGAUGAGGUUUUGAACAAUCGAUCAUGACCUGCGCGCCCAACCAAGACUUGUGCGAAAACUUGUGCUAUUAGUAGCAAUAGUUUUAUUUUUGUAAUAUUGUUUUUCCUUCUAAUAUAGAUCACAGAGAUGCACAUUAA